RNAcentral lists this ribosomal RNA (469 nucleotides) under uncultured bacterium. RNAcentral's name for it is "partial 16S ribosomal RNA". It matches the Rfam family "Bacterial small subunit ribosomal RNA", at positions 28 to 507 of the family's 1533-position model. The record is from RNAcentral.
GACGAACGCUGGCGGCGUGCUUAACACAUGCAAGUCGAACGGAAAGGCCCUGCUUGCCGGGUGCUCGAGUGGCGAACGGGUGAGUAACACGUGGGUGAUCUGCCCCUUAUUUUGGGAUAAGCCUGGGAAACUGGGUCUAAUACUGGAUAGGACCAUGCUGUAGGUGGUGUGGUGGAAAGAUUAGUUUCGGUAAGGGAUGAGCUCGCGGCCUAUCAGCUUGUUGGUGGGGUAAUGGCCUACCAAGGCGUCGACGGGUAGCCGGCCUGAGAGGGUGGACGGCCACAUUGGGACUGAGAUACGGCCCAGACUCCUACGGGAGGCAGCAGUGGGGAAUAUUGCACAAUGGGCGCAAGCCUGAUGCAGCGACGCCGCGUGGGGGAUGACGGCCUUCGGGUUGUAAACUCCUUUCAGCCAUGACGAAGCCCUUGUGGUGACGGUAGUGGUAGAAGAAGCACCGGCUAACUACGUG